UGUUUACAUCCUCAAAUCCACCAGGUGCCAUUAACUGUACACUAGAAGUCACAUUAAUGAAUGAAAUUAAACCUCAAAUCUGUAAAUGCAUUAGGUUUCAUGACUUCAUUAGCCUCCCUUUUUUAACAUACUUCAGUGGAUCCAAUGAAGAUUAGUCCAGUGGUCAACUGGAGCAUGUUGCAAGUUGUCGUGGUAUUUAGGUUUUCCAUGGGUUUAUGGGCAUAAGAUUAUGUGCUUCUUUGAGUUAUCAAAGUUAUCCGAUCAUUUCUACUCCCCAUGCAUUGAAAUGACUGGUCUAUCCAAUAUUUCACUUACAUAAUAUUUAUGUUUGGAAAAAGGCCCCAGGGG
RNAcentral lists this long non-coding RNA (348 nucleotides) under Olea europaea (common olive). RNAcentral's name for it is "long non-coding RNA (OEUR_LNC008529)". The record is from RNAcentral. Lineage: Eukaryota; Viridiplantae; Streptophyta; Magnoliopsida; Lamiales; Oleaceae.